RNAcentral lists this ribosomal RNA (716 nucleotides) under uncultured bacterium. Its description in RNAcentral is "bacterial SSU rRNA". It matches the Rfam family "Bacterial small subunit ribosomal RNA", at positions 61 to 809 of the family's 1533-position model. The record is from RNAcentral.
GUCGCACGAGAAAGGGGCUUCGGCCCUGAGUAAAGUGGCGCACGGGUGAGUAACACGUGAAUCAUCUACCCUCGAGUGGGGAAUAACCUAGAGAAAUCUGGGCUAAUACCGCAUAACACUUACGAGUCAAAGCAGCAAUGCGCUUGGGGAGGAGUUCGCGGCCGAUUAGUUAGUUGGCGGGGUAAUGGCCCACCAAGACGAUGAUCGGUAUCCGGCCUGAGAGGGCGCACGGACACACUGGAACUGAAACACGGUCCAGACUCCUACGGGAGGCAGCAGUGGGGAAUUUUGCGCAAUGGGGGAAACCCUGACGCAGCAACGCCGCGUGGAGGAUGAAAUCCCUUGGGAUGUAAACUCCUUUCGAUUGGGAAGAUUAUGACGGUACCAAUAGAAGAAGCCCCGGCUAACUUCGUGCCAGCAGCCGCGGUAAUACGAGGGGGGCAAGCGUUGUUCGGAAUUAUUGGGCGUAAAGGGUGCGUAGGCGGUUUGACAAGUCUUAUGUGAAAUCUAUGGGCUCAACCCAUAGUCUGCAUGAGAAACUGUUGAGCUUGAGUAUGGGAGAGGUGAGUGGAAUUUCCGGUGUAGCGGUGAAAUGCGUAGAUAUCGGAAGGAACACCUGUGGCGAAAGCGGCUCACUGGACCAUAACUGACGCUGAGGCACGAAAGCUAGGGGAGCAAACAGGAUUAGAUACCCUGGUAGUCCUAGCCCUAAACGA